This 487-nucleotide ribosomal RNA is filed under the name uncultured bacterium. RNAcentral describes it as "bacterial SSU rRNA". It matches the Rfam family "Bacterial small subunit ribosomal RNA", at positions 501 to 987 of the family's 1533-position model. The record is from RNAcentral.
CUACGUGCCAGCAGCCGCGGUAAUACGUAGGGUGCGAGCGUUAAUCGGAAUUACUGGGCGUAAAGCGGGCGCAGACGGUUACUUAAGCAGGAUGUGAAAUCCCCGGGCUCAACCUGGGAACUGCGUUCUGAACUGGGUGACUAGAGUGUGUCAGAGGGAGGUAGAAUUCCACGUGUAGCAGUGAAAUGCGUAGAGAUGUGGAGGAAUACCGAUGGCGAAGGCAGCCUCCUGGGAUAACACUGACGUUCAUGCUCGAAAGCGUGGGUAGCAAACAGGAUUAGAUACCCUGGUAGUCCACGCCCUAAACGAUGUCAAUUAGCUGUUGGGCAACUUGAUUGCCUAGUAGCGUAGCUAACGCGUGAAAUUGACCGCCUGGGGAGUACGGUCGCAAGAUUAAAACUCAAAGGAAUUGACGGGGACCCGCACAAGCGGUGGAUGAUGUGGAUUAAUUCGAUGCAACGCGAAGAACCUUACCUGGUCUUGACAU